This 444-nucleotide ribosomal RNA is filed under the name Corynebacterium durum. Its description in RNAcentral is "bacterial SSU rRNA". It matches the Rfam family "Bacterial small subunit ribosomal RNA", at positions 28 to 474 of the family's 1533-position model. The record is from RNAcentral. Lineage: Bacteria; Bacillati; Actinomycetota; Actinomycetes; Mycobacteriales; Corynebacteriaceae.
GACGAACGCUGGCGGCGUGCUUAACACAUGCAAGUCGAACGGAAAGGCCCGCCACCUUGGUGGUGGGUACUCGAGUGGCGAACGGGUGAGUAACACGUGGGUGAUCUGCCCCGCACUGUGGGAUAAGCCUGGGAAACUGGGUCUAAUACCACAUACGACCAUGGCGUAGGGGUCAUGGUGGAAAGCUUUUGCGGUGUGGGAUGAGCCCGCGGCCUAUCAGCUUGUUGGUGGGGUAAUGGCCUACCAAGGCGGCGACGGGUAGCCGGCCUGAGAGGGUGGACGGCCACAUUGGGACUGAGACACGGCCCAGACUCCUACGGGAGGCAGCAGUGGGGAAUAUUGCACAAUGGGCGCAAGCCUGAUGCAGCGACGCCGCGUGGGGGAUGACGGCCUUCGGGUUGUAAACUCCUUUCGCCCGGGACGAAGCCCACCUGGUGGGUGACG